Molecule: small RNA, 28 nt
Filed under: Bombyx mori (domestic silkworm)
Lineage: Eukaryota; Metazoa; Arthropoda; Insecta; Lepidoptera; Bombycidae
Description: ovarian small RNA-5550
Source: RNAcentral
UAAACCUACGGAAGCGGGAAGCACCAAC